RNAcentral lists this ribosomal RNA (319 nucleotides) under uncultured eukaryote. RNAcentral's name for it is "partial 18S ribosomal RNA". It matches the Rfam family "Eukaryotic small subunit ribosomal RNA", at positions 1470 to 1796 of the family's 1831-position model. The record is from RNAcentral.
CCCUUCGAUGUUCUGGGCAGCACGCGCGCUACAAUGGUCUUCGCAAACGGAUGCAUUCUCGAAGGAGAAUGCCAAUCUUGGAAUCUAUGCCUUGGUCGGGACAGUUGCUUGCAAUUUUUCGACUCGAACCAGGAAUUCCUUGUAAUCGUGAUUCAUCACAUCACGAUGAAUACGUCCCUGCCCUUUGUACACACCGCCCGUCGCUCCUACCGAUCGAAGAGUUAGGUGAAUUGUUUUGAUCGAUAAGAUUUGACUAUGGUCAACUCUCGUUGUGAAAUUCUGUGAAGCUGACUGUUUAGAGGAAGGAAAAGUCGUAACA